GCUCACUGGCUCUCCCCCUUGCGGAGACUUGCCCGCGCUGGUGUAGGAGCCGAGCCGAGACAAGCCACUGCCGCUACCGCCGCCGCCAGUCCCUGGACUAGCGCGAAGGAAGAAGCAGCGCGCGGGUUCCAAGGAGCGAAAUGAGAAGGGUUGAAGAAGGCUGCCGGGAGGGUGGCCGGCUCGCUUCUACCGGCCGGUUAUUUUUGUUUAUAGUCUUUUCUUUCUUCUCUCGUGCCCGCUUGCGCCUCCCAUUUCUUCUCCCUUCUCGUCUUUAAGGGCUUUUUUUUUUUUUGGAGGGGGGGAAGGCUGCUUUUCGUUGGGAAGAGUGGUAUGUGCGCGCCUCUCGCUGCCUCCCUCGCCGCCCCGGGGAAGAAGGAAGUCAGAUGCUGAGUUCAUGAAACUGCUUUCUGUGCUGUGGCUGAUGAUAUCAUAAAUGCUCAGAGCUGUGCUGGGAGCAAUAUCGUGAAACCAGUUCACCUUCAUUAGCCCACCAGGAAUCCAGGAAGCAGAGGGAAUAGGGUAUGGUAUUGUCAACCCUAAACAUCCAGAAAUGAUCAUUUAGGCUCCAAAAAAAGAAGCAAUGAAUAUAAUGGGACGACUUGCUGCCUCAGAACUAAAAUGUCAAUAGGAUCUUCUCUGUUUUUUGUUUCUCCUUCCACUGCUGUUCUCACUGCUCAUAACAUCAUUUUAUUAUCAAAGAAUGGUAGAGAAAAGUGGAGCAAAGCUAAUAGUCUUUCUCUUGUAGUCUCUCUGGAUGUAGUCUUUUCAUAAGUGUCUUGAACUUGACCUCUUUUGAACGACACAAAGGUCCAACACACAUUUUGAAAAGUUAUAUUUAAAUUUUAAUGUUUUUUUUUAAUUCUGCAAGCUAUUUAAUAACACACUCUCAAAACACAGAGCAUAAAUCUUUCAGGGUGGUCAUAGAAUAGAAAUUGAUGGACAAAGCAGAGAAGCUUAGCAAAUGCCCUGAAGCAGCUUUCUUUCUUUUACAUAGAAACCUACUACAGAUGAAUGUUCACAAGAUUUUUUAAAAAGCUUUAUUAUGAUUUAAUCAUCAUGGUGCUGAUACUAAAAAUAUAAUUUAGUAAAGAAUGGAGUUUGCUUUUUCAAUACCCCACCCCUCAUUAUAAAAAUGUUCUUUGUAGUGAGGCAAUGGGGGCAUUAGAAAGAUUUACAGUAACAAUAUAAGUGACUAUAAUGAACUUGGGAACAAGGGAGUAUUGUUAUGAUAGAGAUCUUCUAGCAUUUCUAUCAGCACAAAUAUUGAGGGACCCAAUCUCCUUUCUGUGUAUCUGUAUAUUAAUAUUAACAUGAACAGUAAUUACAGGUACUUGGGAUAAAGUUUAUUUAUGAGAACAUAAUACUUAAAGGUAAGAGCUGUAAAAAUUAAAGACAUCUACCUAUAACAAAACCAUUAUCAACCAUGGUUCUUCUGCAAUAUUUCAAUUAUGUUUAUUCAUGAUAUCUCAGCAUCUUCAUAUUUCACUAAUAAUAUUAAUAUAAUUUUGCCAACUUUAUUUCAGCUCCCAAUAUAGCUAAGCUUGGGGACUUGUCCUUAUUUAUUGAAGGACAAAACUGGCCACUUCAUCAUUUGUGUAACUAAAAACCUCUCAAAUCCUGCUGGUACAGCAUUGAUCCUUUGCAAGUCUUAUUAAAUGAAAAGUUGGUAACCUACAUUGAAGGUUUUGUUUCCUACCCUCCAAGUUUUACCUUAAAAAAUUUACAUCGUGCUGUUUUAUCUUUUUAAGUAGAAGAGCCUGUUCCUACAUGUCAGUGUUUCAGUGCAAUCACGAACAAAAUCAUCACCAAGCUUUGAUUUAAGAAAAAAGGAUAAGCAAGGAUAAUAUCCAGAUAGCAUUUUUACAAUACCAUAUGAGAAUUUUCCAGUUAAUACUUCAAAUUCAGAUAGCCUCAGAAAAUACCAUAAGAUAAAAUGGUUAUCUAAUUAUCUACAGACUGCCCCAUUCUCACCUGUUAAUUGUUUCAAACAAGCAAAUGAUGGAAGCAACUGUGAUAAAAUUUGACCAGUUUUUAAGAGUUAUCAUGGCAUAUGUGACCAGAAUUUGUGAAAAUUUUAAAGGAUGGAUUCAUCAUGAACACACUGCAAUC
Non-coding RNA from Pseudonaja textilis, 2109 nucleotides. The record is from RefSeq and is a predicted model, not a curated record. Lineage: Eukaryota; Metazoa; Chordata; Lepidosauria; Squamata; Elapidae.